Molecule: unclassified non-coding RNA, 245 nt
Filed under: Glomeraceae sp.
Lineage: Eukaryota; Fungi; Glomeromycota; Glomeromycetes; Glomerales; Glomeraceae
Description: partial contains 5.8S ribosomal RNA and internal transcribed spacer 2
Rfam family: 5.8S ribosomal RNA (bases 1-65)
Source: RNAcentral
GUGAAUCAUCAAAUUUUUGAACGCAAAUUGCACUCUCUUCGGAGAGUAUGCCUGUUUGAGGGUCAGUAUUAAUAAAAAUCGGUGUGUUGCUUCUUUGUGACGCUCCGGAGUUUGGGUCAUCUUAUUUCCUUUUGGUUUUUAGGGGCUUUAAAUUUACUUUUUUUUCGCAUUUUUGGUUGAAAUAAAUUCUUUUUUUUAUUCGUCUGUCUUAAUUCUCAAAAUUCUUUUGGAUGCGACCAUAUCGU